CUGGUUUCUGCCAAUGACUGGGACCACUUCUAAAUUUAAAGCCUGCAGAGGAGAGUUGACUUGGACGAACACUACAGACUCAUCAUGUCCAGCAACGUUUUCAGCCUUCACCGAGACACGGUAAAUCCCAGGAUUCUCAUAACGGUGACGGAUGGGUUCCCCAGUCAUUGUAAGGUUCACAUAUAUUGCCUUAAAUCCAUCGCCAAGAUCCACCUGGUACUUGGUAUUCAAUAUAUCACCCUGCUCUUGUCUGACAACGAAGGUGAUGUCCUCCCCAGGCUUAACAGCCAGGCUUUCUCCUCUGAUGCUGAUCUGAAGUCCCUUGGGAGCAAUCAAUGGACACAAAUGCUGUGCUAAGUUCUGCUGCAGGUCUACACCACCUUCA
RNAcentral lists this long non-coding RNA (385 nucleotides) under Gallus gallus (chicken). The record is from RNAcentral. Lineage: Eukaryota; Metazoa; Chordata; Aves; Galliformes; Phasianidae.